RNAcentral lists this ribosomal RNA (1396 nucleotides) under bacterium NLAE-zl-P354. RNAcentral's name for it is "16S ribosomal RNA". It matches the Rfam family "Bacterial small subunit ribosomal RNA". The record is from RNAcentral.
AGUCGAGGGGCAGCAUUUCAGUUUGCUUGCAAACUGGAGAUGGCGACCGGCGCACGGGUGAGUAACACGUAUCCAACCUGCCGAUAACUCGGGGAUAGCCUUUCGAAAGAAAGAUUAAUACCCGAUGGNAUAAUCAGACCGCAUGGUCUUAUUAUUAAAGAAUUUCGGUUAUCGAUGGGGAUGCGUUCCAUUAGGCAGUUGGUGAGGUAACGGCUCACCAAACCUUCGAUGGAUAGGGGUUCUGAGAGGAAGGUCCCCCACAUUGGAACUGAGACACGGUCCAAACUCCUACGGGAGGCAGCAGUGAGGAAUAUUGGUCAAUGGGCGCAGGCCUGAACCAGCCAAGUAGCGUGAAGGAUGACUGCCCUAUGGGUUGUAAACUUCUUUUAUAUGGGAAUAAAGUUUUCCACGUGUGGAAUUUUGUAUGUACCAUAUGAAUAAGGAUCGGCUAACUCCGUGCCAGCAGCCGCGGUAAUACGGAGGAUCCGAGCGUUAUCCGGAUUUAUUGGGUUUAAAGGGAGCGUAGGUGGACAGUUAAGUCAGUUGUGAAAGUUUGCGGCUCAACCGUAAAAUUGCAGUUGAUACUGGCUGUCUUGAGUACAGUAGAGGUGGGCGGAAUUCGUGGUGUAGCGGUGAAAUGCUUAGAUAUCACGAAGAACUCCGAUUGCGAAGGCAGCUCACUGGACUGCAACUGACACUGAUGCUCGAAAGUGUGGGUAUCAAACAGGAUUAGAUACCCUGGUAGUCCACACAGUAAACGAUGAAUACUCGCUGUUUGCGAUAUACAGUAAGCGGCCAAGCGAAAGCAUUAAGUAUUCCACCUGGGGAGUACGCCGGCAACGGUGAAACUCAAAGGAAUUGACGGGGGCCCGCACAAGCGGAGGAACAUGUGGUUUAAUUCGAUGAUACGCGAGGAACCUUACCCGGGCUUAAAUUGCAUUUGAAUANUNUGGAAACAGNNUAGCCGNAAGGCAAAUGUGAAGGUGCUGCAUGGUUGUCGUCAGCUCGUGCCGUGAGGUGUCGGCUUAAGUGCCAUAACGAGCGCAACCCUUAUCUUUAGUUACUAACAGGUCAUGCUGAGGACUCUAGAGAGACUGCCGUCGUAAGAUGUGAGGAAGGUGGGGAUGACGUCAAAUCAGCACGGCCCUUACGUCCGGGGCUACACACGUGUUACAAUGGGGGGUACAGAAGGCAGCUACCUGGUGACAGGAUGCUAAUCCCAAAAGCCUCUCUCAGUUCGGAUCGAAGUCUGCAACCCGACUUCGUGAAGCUGGAUUCGCUAGUAAUCGCGCAUCAGCCAUGGCGCGGUGAAUACGUUCCCGGGCCUUGUACACACCGCCCGUCAAGCCAUGAAAGCCGGGGGUACCUGAAGUACGAACCGCAAGGAGCUCCUAGG